GGCAGUUCUUGGGUGACAUACCUGGAAUCGGGUUCCCUCCUCUCUGGUUCCGGGUGCAUCACUCAAGAACCCCA
Molecule: non-coding RNA, 74 nt
Organism: Myotis davidii
Lineage: Eukaryota; Metazoa; Chordata; Mammalia; Chiroptera; Vespertilionidae
Source: Rfam